Molecule: non-coding RNA, 85 nt
Filed under: Paenibacillus polymyxa
Lineage: Bacteria; Bacillati; Bacillota; Bacilli; Caryophanales; Paenibacillaceae
Also listed under: 4 other names
Description: partial 16S ribosomal RNA
Rfam family: Bacterial small subunit ribosomal RNA
Source: RNAcentral
CCAGCCGCCGAAGGUGGGGUAGAUGAUUGGGGUGAAGUCGUAACAAGGUAGCCGUAUCGGAAGGUGCGGCUGGAUCACCUCCUUU